This 255-nucleotide ribosomal RNA is filed under the name uncultured bacterium. RNAcentral's name for it is "partial 16S ribosomal RNA". It matches the Rfam family "Bacterial small subunit ribosomal RNA", at positions 198 to 455 of the family's 1533-position model. The record is from RNAcentral.
GUAUCAAAGCUCCGGCGGUACAGGAUGGACCCGCGUCUGAUUAGCUAGUUGGUAAGGUAACGGCUUACCAAGGCGACGAUCAGUAGCCGACCUGAGAGGGUGAUCGGCCACAUUGGAACUGAGACACGGUCCAAACUCCUACGGGAGGCAGCAGUGGGGAAUAUUGCACAGUGGGCGAAAGCCUGAUGCAGCAACGCCGCGUGAGCGAAGAGGGCCUUCGGGUCGUAAAGCUCUGUCCUCAAGGAAGAUAAUGAC